This 545-nucleotide ribosomal RNA is filed under the name Vibrio parahaemolyticus. RNAcentral's name for it is "bacterial SSU rRNA". It matches the Rfam family "Bacterial small subunit ribosomal RNA", at positions 488 to 1033 of the family's 1533-position model. Lineage: Bacteria; Pseudomonadati; Pseudomonadota; Gammaproteobacteria; Vibrionales; Vibrionaceae. The record is from RNAcentral.
AGCACCGGCUAACUCCGUGCCAGCAGCCGCGGUAAUACGGAGGGUGCGAGCGUUAAUCGGAAUUACUGGGCGUAAAGCGCAUGCAGGUGGUUUGUUAAGUCAGAUGUGAAAGCCCGGGGCUCAACCUCGGAAUUGCAUUUGAAACUGGCAGACUAGAGUACUGUAGAGGGGGGUAGAAUUUCAGGUGUAGCGGUGAAAUGCGUAGAGAUCUGAAGGAAUACCGGUGGCGAAGGCGGCCCCCUGGACAGAUACUGACACUCAGAUGCGAAAGCGUGGGGAGCAAACAGGAUUAGAUACCCUGGUAGUCCACGCCGUAAACGAUGUCUACUUGGAGGUUGUGGCCUUGAGCCGUGGCUUUCGGAGCUAACGCGUUAAGUAGACCGCCUGGGGAGUACGGUCGCAAGAUUAAAACUCAAAUGAAUUGACGGGGGCCCGCACAAGCGGUGGAGCAUGUGGUUUAAUUCGAUGCAACGCGAAGAACCUUACCUACUCUUGACAUCCAGAGAACUUUCCAGAGAUGGAUUGGUGCCUUCGGGAGCUCUGAG